UUACCNGUUUGACAUAAAAGAGAUCCGCAAGGGACAGGUGGUGCAUGGCUGUCGUCAGCUNGUGUCGUGAGAUGUUGGGUUAAGUCCCGCAACGAGCGCAACCCUAUCAAUGUUGCCAGCAUAUGGGACUCAUUGAGACUGCCGGGGUUAAUCGGAGGAAGGCGGGGAUGACGUCAAGUCCUCAUGCCCCUUAUGCUGGGCUGCAAACACGCUACAAUGGGAUACAAGGGGCUUCGCGAGAUUAGCAAUCCCGAAAUCGUCUCAGUUNGAAUUGAAGUNUGCAACUCGACUUCAUGAAGCUGGAGUUGCUAGUAAUCCCGAUCAGCACGCGGGGUGAAUACGUUCCCGGGCCUUGUACACNCCGCCCGUCACACCACGAAAGUCGGAAACCGAA
RNAcentral lists this ribosomal RNA (394 nucleotides) under uncultured bacterium. RNAcentral describes it as "bacterial SSU rRNA". It matches the Rfam family "Bacterial small subunit ribosomal RNA", at positions 971 to 1425 of the family's 1533-position model. The record is from RNAcentral.